GGCGGGGUUCCGGAGCGGUCGAACGGGGCAGUCUUGAAAACUGUUGAGCCGCAAGGCUCCGUGGGUUCGAAUCCCACCCCCGCCG
This 85-nucleotide transfer RNA is filed under the name Actinomycetota bacterium. RNAcentral describes it as "tRNA-Ser". It matches the Rfam family "tRNA". From Rfam's summary of the family: Transfer RNA (tRNA) molecules are approximately 80 nucleotides in length. Lineage: Bacteria; Bacillati; Actinomycetota. The record is from RNAcentral.